AACGAACGCUGGCGGCAGGCCUAACACAUGCAAGUCGAGCGCCCCGCAAGGGGAGCGGCGGACGGGUGAGUAACGCGUGGGAACGUACCCUUUGCUACGGAAUAGCCUCGGGAAACUGGGAGUAAUACCGUAUGUGUCCUUCGGGAGAAAGAUUUAUCGGCAAGGGAUCGGCCCGCGUUGGAUUAGGUAGUUGGUGGGGUAAUGGCCUACCAAGCCGACGAUCCAUAGCUGGUUUGAGAGGAUGAUCAGCCACACUGGGACUGAGACACGGCCCAGACUCCUACGGGAGGCAGCAGUGGGGAAUCUUAGACAAUGGGCGCAAGCCUGAUCUAGCCAUGCCGCGUGAGCGAUGAAGGCCUUAGGGUUGUAAAGCUCUUUCAGGGGGGAAGAUAAUGGCUGUACCCCCAGAAGAAGCCCCGGCUAACUCCGUG
RNAcentral lists this ribosomal RNA (431 nucleotides) under uncultured bacterium. RNAcentral describes it as "partial 16S ribosomal RNA". It matches the Rfam family "Bacterial small subunit ribosomal RNA", at positions 29 to 507 of the family's 1533-position model. The record is from RNAcentral.